UAUUCUAAGCACCAAGACAAGACACCAUACAUCAGGCUUACAGAAGGACAACAAAAAGAAUCAAGUAUGAGACAUCAGUUGUACAGAAUGAAAGCUAAAACAUCCAUUUGACGCGGGUCGCCGGCUUCAUGGUUCAUUUCCUUAUGUUUGCUUCCUACAGAAGCUAAAGAAGUCUCAAUUAUUAGAAUGUUCAAUUAAUUUAUGAAAUUGAAUAGAGACAGAAUUCAUAUCUGCACUAUGCGCACACAAGAGCACAAAAUGAGGAAUACACUUAUCUAAUCUAUAAAAUUAGCAUUUCGAAACAUGAAGACCACCAAUCGACUCCCAGCAGUGGCCAUGGAUGUGGCAUAGAAGCCCUGUGUACGAUUGCUGAGCAUUUAGUGUUCCUAGGGACAUACUUAAGUUACUGUGCAUAGGUCCCAGCAGCCAUUAUUCGAACACUUGUUUCCAAAAAAAAUAAACGUCCGUAGGGAAUAGUGUCAUAGGUAUAAGAGAAAUAAAAAUGAGUUGUGCGAACGACCAAUAUUUUCUUUACUGUUCAGGCCAUACAAGGAAAAAUAUAUCAGAAAUUUAGAAUUAGUAUCUCAAACGUAGAACCAGGUUACACAUUUCUUUUGCAAUUUAUGAAGGCAUAACCAGCAUCUGCAUGAUAACUAAAUAUAUGUACACUGCUUAUUAAUCUGUACGUACAGAUUAUAAAUACUAGGAUUUUCCUCAUACUUACUGAUUAAUAGCUCAUGGGUGGGCGCCUUCUUCAUGGCUGGGUAGAAUGGAAAAAUUACGCGUGCUGCCAUAUUGAAAUAUAGUUAGUCAAGAUCUUUUUUUAGGGAUAGUUAGUCAAGAUCUUGAUAAAGAUACAAUGUACUAUAUUGGCCUAGAGACAGGAUUCAGAAAUAGCAACUUUAAAAGCAACUAGCGAUGUAUUAUGCUCUGUUCUGUACUAUGGAUGUGCCAAUGGGAGUGUUCUGUAAUGCCAAAUUUAACUAUUACUAUUAAGCAAUAAGCAGCUAGCAGUGUAAACAAGAUACAAUGUUCUGACAAAUUUAACUAUUAUUAAGAGCAACUAGCAGUGUUCUGUACUAAUUGUAGAAAGUAGGCUCUGUACCCGUUUACCAUAAAUCAUAUUGUAGUGUUCAAUAAAACACAGGGAAACCAAUUAAAUGAAUCUGAACAUUGUUAAAAAGAUUGACAACGGCUCUGUUUCACUUCUCUUUUAAUUGAGUAAUUAGUUCUUUUGAUGGAGAGAACAAAUCAAUGCUGACCAAGAACUAAAAGUGUAAAAUAAUGAUAAACUUAUGUCCAGAUUAACUUAUGUAAUCUGGUCAUCAUGGGAUCUUCAUGCACUUUGAGCUAGGAUCCCAUGAUAAAUCAAUGCUGACCAGAUUCCAUGCACUCUUCAUCAUCUUCUUCUUCACCAUCAUUAUCUUCCUCAGCUUCAACUCUUGAGUUCUAUCAGACAACAAUAUGGAGAUGAGUUAUCGCGUGCAAGAUGGAUUAUUGAUUCAAUGAAAAGUUGUGGAAAUAGUCCACUACUAGUCGAGAACUGGAACCGUGCUACGAGCUAGGACUUAGAAAACAUUAGACGAUCGUACACAACACUUACUUCUUUCAAUAUCGCUUGCAUUAAGAACUAAUCCAUCUCUAUAUGGCCUAGCAGAAACAGAAGCAAAACCUGUGUUCUGAUCUUUGAGCAUUCUGAAUAUCACUGCCUAUCCAACCAAAAUGCGCAGGCUAAAGAAAGAAGGAAAGAAAAUAUCCUAGCAAAAUUAUGUUAGAGUAAUUGUUUAAGUGAGCAAUGGUACUGACCAGUUUGACCCGUCCCCCGGGUAUAUAUAAUACUCCUUUGGUUACAUAGUAUAUGCUCACAGAAUAGGUAGCAACUUCCUUUGGUUACCACACCACUAGACCCGACUUGAAUGUUAUUUGGGAAAGGCAAUGGUCUCCCCUAGGAUGAUUACUAGAUGAAAUCAAAGAACAUGACUAUUUUGGCUCACGGCACGGAAAGAAAAUAAAUGAAACUCUACCUCCACAUUUUAAUCCAACUAUUAUGAAGGAGAAAAAAAACCUUUAUCACGAUGCAUACAACACAAAUUUAUGAUGCAUGCAACCAAUAUUGUUAGUACAAUAGAUGUACCGAUUGGAUGGUCAAGCUAUUGUGAAUUCAAGUGUCGCAAAUAAUACAUGGUAAGUCUACACACUUGCUGGUUCUUUACCAUUUGACCAGUGCUGGUAUUAAUGAACUUUCUUAUGACACGAGACUUCAUCAGAAUAUUAACAAAGAGAUAGACUUGUGCUAUAGGUUUCGGAAAGUCCAGGACACCAUGUGCUAUAGGUUUCGGGACUGAUGGACCGCAAUAUAGUAGUAUGAAUGUACGCCAGUCUGAUGGUGUGGUUCUUCCAUUCAUUCUAAGAAAAGUACAAUCGUGCUUGUGCUUUCAUAUGCUAAUCACAAAUGACUGAGGAUGAUCGAUAGAUGAGCAACCAGAAAAGGCCUAUGUACAUCUUACCUGGCUACAUCGCCAUUGUGCAUAAAUAGAAGGAGCUUCUUGAAGAAUCCUCAGUUCUUCCUCUUGUUUCAAAUUCAUGUAUAGCAAUUCAGUUGCACCCUCUUGUUCCAGAUUCAUGUACAUAAAUAAUAAAAUAGGUACUUAUCCU
RNAcentral lists this long non-coding RNA (2655 nucleotides) under Triticum aestivum (bread wheat). RNAcentral's name for it is "long non-coding RNA (TAES_LNC015410)". The record is from RNAcentral. Lineage: Eukaryota; Viridiplantae; Streptophyta; Magnoliopsida; Poales; Poaceae.